Molecule: ribosomal RNA, 398 nt
Filed under: Veronaea botryosa
Lineage: Eukaryota; Fungi; Ascomycota; Eurotiomycetes; Chaetothyriales; Herpotrichiellaceae
Description: eukaryotic LSU rRNA
Rfam family: 5.8S ribosomal RNA (bases 1-68)
Source: RNAcentral
AAUCAUCGAAUCUUUGAACGCACAUUGCGCCCUUUGGUAUUCCGAAGGGCAUGCCUGUUCGAGCGUCAUUAUCACCCCUCAAGCCCCCGGCUUGGUGUUGGACGGUUUGGUGGAGGCCCCCUCGUCGGGGUCGCUGCCCCUCCCAAAGACAAUGACGGCGGCCUCGUUGGACCCCCGGUACACUGAGUUCUUCACGGGACACGUACUGGACACAAGGGUGCGCGGGGCACGGUCUGCCUCCCCUCUAGGGAGAAUUAUCUCAAGGUUGACCUCGGAUCAGGUAGGGAUACCCGCUGAACUUAAGCAUAUCAAUAAGCGGAGGAACCUCUGUGCACCAUCCUCUUUUCUUUGUGGUAUAAAAUCAGGGAGGACCACCCGAUGUAAUUAAUCUUAUCAAU